AAAACGGGCAACAUGGCCCCUUUUCAUUCCAAACUUUGAAGUAAGAUCUACUGUACUUAAGUUUUGAAGCUCAGUAAGGGAAUUCCCUGACUCCUCAAACUUAUCUGCGUAUUGCAUCAGAGCUCGAUCAUGCAGAUGUGCAGAAAACAAGCUUAACAACUUCCUAAUCAAAGUUUGUUUCGGCAAUAAUCAUUCAAAUGGGAAUAGAGGCAUUUACUAGGGAAACACAAGAAUCACUCAGCUGCCAACACAGAUGAUAUUCUCUAGAUAUAUACAAGAAGACCGAAUUUAGUAUAAGAACCUUUUGCCGUUUAGUCAUGUUCAGCUCAUUCAUAUCAUCUACAUUCAUAAUCUU
Non-coding RNA from Solanum lycopersicum (tomato), 355 nucleotides. NCBI's taxonomy places the organism in Eukaryota, Viridiplantae, Streptophyta, Magnoliopsida, Solanales, Solanaceae. The record is from RefSeq and is a predicted model, not a curated record.